This is a long non-coding RNA of Nilaparvata lugens (brown planthopper), 383 nucleotides long. RefSeq lists it as uncharacterized. The record is from RefSeq and is a predicted model, not a curated record. Lineage: Eukaryota; Metazoa; Arthropoda; Insecta; Hemiptera; Delphacidae. The transcript is spliced from 3 exons.
GCACAAUGAACUUUGCAAAGGACCAACGGUUUUUCGAAUGAGUUUCGUAGUCAGUAAUUUUUGUGAUUUUAUCCAGGAAAUAUAGGAGCUGUGGUGAUGAAAUUUUCCAACACAAAAGAAAAAGACAUAGAAGCAGUACGGUAAUCAAAUACUGGCUGAAGUCUCCAAAAACUCGGUUUACCAGCAAAGAGAAAUCUAAAAAUGUUCAAACACCGGAUCCUGGAGGAAAAUCUGAUUGCUACAAAAAUUGAGAUUGAAUUGAGGUACAGCAACAUAAACCAGUAUGUAGCUCAAAAAAUUGCUACUUUAAACAGGAAGAGAUUAAAGUAUUCUGGAGCACCACAAUAAGGACCUUUCUUGAUAGAUAAAUGAAAUGCAUAUGA